GCCUCCCCAACGAUGCCUCCUGUAUAGCCUGUGGAACUACCUGUAGUUAGAAGAACCUGCCUGGGAGGGAUCACGACUGGGAGAUCCGAGCAUGGGAGGGCCUGGAGCACUGCAGAAGCUUGAUGGUAUUUGGGCCCAUCUGCAUAAAUGGAGCAAUUUGGACAGAGACACACUGAAGAGCGAGAAUGCCAGGUGAAAAUGAAGGCGGAAGUUGGUGUUGAAGCAGCAGAAGCUAAGGAAUUCCAAAACUUGCCAGCAAACCGCCAGAAGCCACCAAAGGGGCAUGGAACCUAGUAUUCCUCACAGCCCUCAGAAGGAACCAACCCUGUGGACACCUUGAUCUCAAACUUCUAGCCUCUAGAACAACGCAAGACAUUGUGAUUUUGACCUUGUUGGAUGCUGCACCUAAAGGUGGAUGGAAGAGGAAGUCUUGGGGGCUACCACUCUGACUGGAGAAGCUGGCACGAGGCUCCCUCUUGUGGAUGCAGCAAGGCAAGAAAGUAAAGUGCACAUUUUCUUCUGGAGCAAGUGGCCUCCAGCUCUGCCUCUGGACUGAAACACACACUUGCAUGCUGUGGCUUAGCUGAGGGCUUGUGACUCAGGACAGAAGCAGUGGUGGUGAGGAGCAGGGCAGUGAUACGGGAGAGGUACAGUCCCAGCCCCAGGACACAGUGGAUCUCAAUAUUGGGAAGGGAGGAGUUCAGUAUCAGUAAAGUGAGCCAUAAGAGAGAGGAAAGCAGCCUUAGCAGACAGAGGUGGAACCAAUUGAAAGAAGGAGGGGAGCGUCUUGCAAGAACGUUGCUGGUACUGGCUAGAGGCUGUGGGGAUCAUUCUCAGGCCAUCCAAGAACUCUGAGAAGAUUGGGGGGAUGCUGGAAUUUCACUGUCGUCGCCAGGAUGGGCUCAAGCCAGAGGCUAUUUUUAUUUAAAUGCCAUUAAUUUUGUUUUUAUUUUUUGAUAUUAACCCUGUCAGGUGAGUUUAGAGAAUACCUGUUAUCAAUGAUAUAUAAUUCUGAAAUGUUAAUGUGUGGGAAGGAGCAAGUAAGGCUCAAUAAAUAUAACCUGGACAUGUAAUGAUGCUAGAGAACUUAUGAUCUUCACCUGAAAAUUUUGGAUGCAUAAAAGUCCCUUAUUGUCAUUUUAUUUAUUUACUUAGUUCUUACUGAGAUUGAGAUAGUUUUACUGUAUAAUACCUAAAGAUCUCGUGUAAGAGUGAUACUAGCUUUUGUUCCCUAUUAGUUUCUUUUUCUUUUCUUUUUGACACAGAAUCUCGCUCUGUUGGCCAGGCUGGAGU
Non-coding RNA from Macaca mulatta (Rhesus monkey), 1293 nucleotides. Lineage: Eukaryota; Metazoa; Chordata; Mammalia; Primates; Cercopithecidae. The record is from RefSeq and is a predicted model, not a curated record.